GGAGAGAUGUCCGAGUGGUUGAAGGAGCACGACUGGAAAUCGUGUGUACUGACAAAACGGUACCGAGGGUUCGAAUCCCUCUCUCUCCGCCA
RNAcentral lists this transfer RNA (92 nucleotides) under Allolucifera butyrica. RNAcentral describes it as "Lucifera butyrica tRNA". It matches the Rfam family "tRNA". From Rfam's summary of the family: Transfer RNA (tRNA) molecules are approximately 80 nucleotides in length. Their secondary structure includes four short double-helical elements and three loops (D, anti-codon, and T loops). Further hydrogen bonds mediate the characteristic L-shaped molecular structure. tRNAs have two regions of fundamental functional importance: the anti-codon, which is responsible for specific mRNA codon recognition, and the 3' end, to which the tRNAs corresponding amino acid is attached (by aminoacyl-tRNA synthetases). tRNAs cope with the degeneracy of the genetic code in two manners: having more than one tRNA (with a specific anti-codon) for a particular amino acid; and 'wobble' base-pairing, i.e. permitting non-standard base-pairing at the 3rd anti-codon position. Lineage: Bacteria; Bacillati; Bacillota; Negativicutes; Veillonellales; Veillonellaceae. The record is from RNAcentral.